GCGCUUCCCAGCCUCUUAUUCUGUAUUUUCUCUGCUCCCCACUUUUUGCGUUCUUUUUAUUGCAAUUUCCAUUUGCCCUUCGUUUCUGUGUUAGAACUGCACGCCUUCCCACCUUCUUCGGAGCAAUUAUGCGCUGGAAGCUCAGAGGUCUUGCUGGGGUUUUGUAACCGGCAUCCCAUCGGCUGCUCACGCUUUGGCCUAUAAGUAGUCAGCUGAUUAGCAAUGACUCGGAAUCACAGAAUAAUUCUGCAGGGCUGAAAAAGAUAUGGCAUUUGUUUAUCUUUCCGACUUGAAGGGCGAUGAGGAAGACUGGGUUAUAAGAGUGCGCGUUUGCAGGAUGUGGGAGUCUAUCAGUACAAAGGAUGGAAGUUUGAUAAGCGUGGAUAUGAUACUAGCCGAUGAAAAGUUUUUUGACAUAUGCUCUUUAGAAAUUAUGGACAAUCGCAACAAGCCAGGGACAUGGGAUAAUCCUGAUUACAUACAUAGAGCAGCGGUGAUGCUUACUUGGAAGCUUUAAAGGAUAGGGUUUGAUAUGAAUUGCAUUGGUUAGGUUUUAUCCCUAAAGAUUUUUUUUUUUGGCCUACCACUUCCUUCAUGUAUAUUUCACGGUUAUUGUAAAAAGGGUCAUUUGUUCUGGUCCGAACUUCUGACCUCCUGAACUCGAAAUUGAAAUUUUAUUUGGCCUCUAAUUUUUUGAGAA
Molecule: long non-coding RNA, 700 nt
Organism: Daucus carota subsp. sativus
Lineage: Eukaryota; Viridiplantae; Streptophyta; Magnoliopsida; Apiales; Apiaceae
Exons: 3
Source: RefSeq, a predicted model, not a curated record